UAUAUUUGACAAUUGUUGCAACGCUGAUGCAGCCAUGCCGAGUGUGUGAAGAAGGUCUUCGGAUUUUAUAGCACUUUAUGUAGGGGGGAAGGGCUUUAGGCUAUUCCUCUGACGAUUUGACGUUACGAACAGAAGAAGCACCGGAUCACUCUGACUCAGCAGCCGCGGUAAUACAGAGGGUGCACUCGUUAAUCGGAAUUACUGGGCGUAAAGCGCGCGUAGGUGGAUCAGUAAGAUGAGUGUGAAAUCUCCGGGCUUAACCUGGGAACUGCUUUCAUACCUGCUGAGCUGAGGUACGGUAGAGGGCAGUGGAAUUUCCUGUGUAGCGGUGAAAUGAUUAGGUAUAGGAAGGAACACCAGUGGCGAAGGCGACUACCUGGACUGAAACUGACACUGAGGUGCGAAAGCGUGGGGAGCAA
RNAcentral lists this ribosomal RNA (419 nucleotides) under uncultured bacterium. Its description in RNAcentral is "partial 16S ribosomal RNA". It matches the Rfam family "Bacterial small subunit ribosomal RNA", at positions 359 to 771 of the family's 1533-position model. The record is from RNAcentral.